AUGGUGAGUUCUUGCAGAAUGAUCGUGAAUGGAGGAAGUGAGAGUGAAGGGUUGAAUAUGAAGAUGGAGAGAGAAAGAAGAAUGAAGGCGAGUGAUGAAAAAUCUGAGCCAUUGCAUCGGGAGUUAGUUGCAAGCAAUGCAGGGGCUAUUUGGAUUAAUGUGUUUGGAUUGCUUCUGAUUUUUUCUUCUAUUAAAAGAAUGCAAUGUUUUUGGACAGAUCUUGGUAAGGAAGAUGGAAGCAAAGUUUGCAAAUGGAGCAUGGUGGAAAUCUUGAAGGCAAGGAGUUUUAAAAUAUGGACAUGA
This is a non-coding RNA of Vicia faba (fava bean), 303 nucleotides long. Lineage: Eukaryota; Viridiplantae; Streptophyta; Magnoliopsida; Fabales; Fabaceae. The record is from the annotation of a GenBank genome assembly.